This 260-nucleotide ribosomal RNA is filed under the name uncultured bacterium. RNAcentral's name for it is "partial 16S ribosomal RNA". It matches the Rfam family "Bacterial small subunit ribosomal RNA", at positions 72 to 334 of the family's 1533-position model. The record is from RNAcentral.
CAAAACUAAAAGAGUGGCCGGACCGGCGCACGGGUGAGUAACACGUAUCCAACCUGCCGAUAACUCGGGGAUAGCCUUUCGAAAGAAAGAUUAAUACCCGAUGGCAUAGUUCUUCCGCAUGGUAGAACUAUUAAAGAAUUUCGGUCAUCGAUGGGGAUGCGUUCCAUUAGGUUGUUGGCGGGGUAACGGCCCACCAAGCCUUCGAUGGAUAGGGGUUCUGAGAGGAAGGUCCCCCACAUUGGAACUGAGACACGGUCCAA